AACGCACAUUGCACUCUCUGGUAUUCCGGAGAGUAUGCUUGUUUGAGUAUCUGUAAACAUCUCAAAUCUCUCUGCGCUUGCGCAAAAGAGAAUUGGAUUUGAGCGAUCCCGACUCCUUCGUCAGAAAGAGGAGGGUCGCUUGAAAUGCAGGUGCAGCUGGACAUUCUUCUGAGCUAAAAGCAUAUCUAUUUAGUCCCGUCAAACGGAUUAUUACUUUUGCUUCAGCUAAUAUAAAGGUCGAAUGAACUACCAACGCUGAUUGCAGGAAAACUCGUUCUUAACCGAACUUGUAAACUCGAUCUCAAAUCAAGUAAGACUACCCGCUGAACUUAA
Molecule: unclassified non-coding RNA, 333 nt
Filed under: uncultured fungus
Lineage: Eukaryota; Fungi
Also listed under: 1 other name
Description: sequence contains ITS2
Source: RNAcentral